UGCGGAAUAAGGGCAGUCGCCUGUGGUUCAGUUUGAACCAGGGAGGAAAGUCCGGACACCAGGGAUAAGGAGACCAGAGAAAUCUGGGCUAUGUAGAAGUUUACUUCUACUUCGACGGAAAGUGCCACAGAAAAAAUACCGCCAAAGCAUAAUCGAAGAUUAUGUGCAGUUUUCGUAGAAAGCUCAUUGGUAAGGGUGAAAUGGUAGGGUAAGAGCCUACCGCAUUUUCAGAGAUGAAAAUGGCAGGGUAAACCCUCUCCGGUGAAAUUUCAAGCAGCUCUGUGAAAGGUCCCGAGCUUAGAAUACUUUGUAUGUUGAGCGCAGAGCGGGUAGAAAGAAAAGAUCGACGGGUAUAACCGGUAGACAAGAUAAAUGACUGCCACCCUAAAGGUUCAUUGAAUCUUUUGGGUACAGAAUCUGGCUUAUCUUAUUCCGCAUUUU
Molecule: RNase P RNA, 441 nt
Filed under: Leptospiraceae bacterium
Lineage: Bacteria; Pseudomonadati; Spirochaetota; Leptospiria; Leptospirales; Leptospiraceae
Description: RNase P RNA component class A
Rfam family: Bacterial RNase P class A
About the family: Ribonuclease P (RNase P) is a ubiquitous endoribonuclease, found in archaea, bacteria and eukarya as well as chloroplasts and mitochondria.
Source: RNAcentral